Molecule: ribosomal RNA, 588 nt
Filed under: Triticum aestivum (bread wheat)
Lineage: Eukaryota; Viridiplantae; Streptophyta; Magnoliopsida; Poales; Poaceae
Description: partial small subunit ribosomal RNA
Source: RNAcentral
AUGGAGGCCCCAACAUCUGAACAUCUGGCUGCAGUAAAACACAUAUUGCGCUAUGUGAAAGGAACACUCAAUUUUGGGUGUAGCUAUGUCAAGAAGAAAGGUGCGAAAGAUGAGCAGCUCCAUGGUUACAAUGAUAGUGACAUGGCGGGAGACGUGGACGAUUGGAAGAGCACAACCGGCGUUGCAUUUUUCCUUGGACCAAACUUGGUCAGUUGGCUCUCACAGAAGCAGAAGGUUGUAGCUCUUUCUUCUUGUGAGGCUGAAUAUAUAGCAGCAGCGACAGUGGCGUGUCAGGGAGUUUGGCUUGGACGACUACUUGGUGAUCUCCUAGACCAAGAACCAGAGAAGGUGCUAUUGAAGAUCGACAACAAAUCUGCAAUUUCCUUGUGCAAGAACCCUGUUCAUCAUGAUAGAAGCAAGCAUAUAGAUACAAGGUAUCAUUACAUAAGGGACUGUGUGGAGGAAGGAAAGGUGGAAGUCGAUCAUGUAUGCACUGAAGAUCAGCUAGCUGACAUCUUGACUAAAUCUCUUGGAAAACAGAAAUUUUUGGAGAUGAGGAAGAGAAUUGGAGUGGCAGCUGUGAAAUGA